Molecule: ribosomal RNA, 310 nt
Filed under: uncultured bacterium
Lineage: Bacteria
Description: bacterial SSU rRNA
Rfam family: Bacterial small subunit ribosomal RNA
Source: RNAcentral
AUUGAACGCUGGCGGUAGGCUUAACACAUGCAAGUCGAGCGGAAACGAUGGUAGCUUGCUAUCAGGCGUCGAGCGGCGGACGGGUGAGUAACGCGUGGGAAUUUGCCUAGUAGUGGGGGAUAGCCCGGAGAAAUCCGGAUUAAUACCGCAUAAUCUCUACGGAGUAAAGGUGGCCUCUCCUUGGAAGCUAUCGCUACUAGAUAAGCCCGCGUCAGAUUAGCUUGUUGGUGAGGUAAUGGCUCACCAAGGCAACGAUCUGUAGCUGGUCUGAGAGGAUGAUCAGUCACACUGGAACUGAGACACGGUCCAG